Molecule: transfer RNA, 63 nt
Filed under: Curculionoidea sp. 4 KM-2017
Lineage: Eukaryota; Metazoa; Arthropoda; Insecta; Coleoptera
Description: tRNA-Pro
Source: RNAcentral
CAGGAUAUAGUUUAUAAAAUAUUAAUUUUGGAGAUUAAAGUUAAAGAUUGUCUUUUUUCCUGA